ACGGCCAUACCCUACUGAAAACACCGGUUCUCGUCCGAUCACCGAAGUUAAGCAUCAUCGGCGGUGGUCAGUACUUGGGAGGUUGACCAUCUGGUAAGAACGCAUGCCGUC
Molecule: non-coding RNA, 111 nt
Organism: Trichonephila clavata
Lineage: Eukaryota; Metazoa; Arthropoda; Arachnida; Araneae; Nephilidae
Source: the annotation of a GenBank genome assembly